AAACUUGCUUCUCUAGAGAGCGGCGGACGGGUGAAUAAUGCCUAUGAAUCUGCCUGGUAUUGGGGGAUAACGUUCGGAAACGGACGCUGAUACCGCAGACGUCCUACUGGAGAAAGCAGGGGACCUUCGGGCCUUGCGCUUUCAUAUGAGCCUAGGUGGGAUUAACUGGUUGGAGAGGUAAUGGCUCACCAAGGCGACUAUCCCUAACUGGUCUGAAAAGAUGAUCAGUCACCCUGGAACUGAGACACGGGCCAAACUCCUACGGGAGGCAGCAGUGGGGAAUAUUGCACGAUGGGCGAAAGCCUGAUCCAGCCAUGCCGCGUGUGUGAAGAAGGUCUUCGGAUUGUGAAGCACUUUAAAUUGGAAGGAAGGGCAAUUACCUAGUACGUGAUUGUUUUGAC
This 401-nucleotide ribosomal RNA is filed under the name Pseudomonadales bacterium. RNAcentral's name for it is "bacterial SSU rRNA". It matches the Rfam family "Bacterial small subunit ribosomal RNA", at positions 76 to 478 of the family's 1533-position model. Lineage: Bacteria; Pseudomonadati; Pseudomonadota; Gammaproteobacteria; Pseudomonadales. The record is from RNAcentral.